AUUGAACGCUGGCGGCAUGCUUUACACAUGCAAGUCGAACGGUAACAGGCCGCAAGGUGCUGACGAGUGGCGAACGGGUGAGUAAUGCAUCGGAACGUGCCCAGUCGUGGGGGAUAACUACUCGAAAGAGUAGCUAAUACCGCAUACGAUCUAUGGAUGAAAGCGGGGGACCGUAAGGCCUCGCGCGAUUGGAGCGGCCGAUGUCAGAUUAGGUAGUUGGUGGGGUAAAGGCUCACCAAGCCAACGAUCUGUAGCUGGUCUGAGAGGACGACCAGCCACACUGGGACUGAGACACGGCCCAGACUCCUACGGGAGGCAACAGUGGGGAAUUUUGGACAAUGGGCGCAAGCCUGAUCCAGCAAUGCCGCGUGCAGGAAGAAGGCCUUCGGGUUGUAAACUGCUUUUGUACGGAACGAAACGGCUCUGGUUAAUACCCGGGGCUAAUGACGGUACCGUAAGAAUAAGCACCGGCUAACUACGUG
Molecule: ribosomal RNA, 482 nt
Filed under: uncultured bacterium
Lineage: Bacteria
Description: partial 16S ribosomal RNA
Rfam family: Bacterial small subunit ribosomal RNA
Source: RNAcentral